UCUUGCUGCUAAGCUAUCCCUCACUGCUAAGCUAUCUCUCACUGCUAAGCUAUUCCUCACUGCUAAGCUAUCUCUUGCUG
This 80-nucleotide small RNA is filed under the name Histoplasma ohiense. Its description in RNAcentral is "hypothetical lncRNA". The record is from RNAcentral. Lineage: Eukaryota; Fungi; Ascomycota; Eurotiomycetes; Onygenales; Ajellomycetaceae.